Molecule: long non-coding RNA, 1081 nt
Organism: Helianthus annuus (common sunflower)
Lineage: Eukaryota; Viridiplantae; Streptophyta; Magnoliopsida; Asterales; Asteraceae
Exons: 3
Source: RefSeq, a predicted model, not a curated record
GUGUUGCGACUGGUGGACUAAAAGAUCGAAGCGCGUUGGCACAUUAGAGUUGGACCGGAUUCGUAAGUCCAUGAGUGUUAUUGUCCGUGAGCCAGAUGGGCAUAACCAAUUGCUUGUCAAGGUAAAAUGGGUCGGACAAAGGUCAUAAUGGCAUGUUUGGAACGGGUUGUGUUGAGUUGACCCGUUCAUAUAGUAAUUUUUUUUUGACAUUUUUCAAGAAUUAACAUAUGUUAGUUGAAUCAGAUCAUAGAUCUGCUGGCAUUUAUUAGACUGUAGUUCGUAUUGACAUGCUUUUUAGGGUUAACUGAACUGGAUAUUUAGUUAACAAAUCUGUUUCAUCAGCAGUUGUUGAGUGUUUUUGUGUAGAAUUGAGUAGUUGAAACAUGAAGAUGUUCUAAAGAACUAAUAAGUAAAAAGGUGAGAGGGGUCGGGAUAAAAUAUCAAGAUUUUGUUGGGAUUUACUAUAUAGCAGAAGCAUGUUAUCUCUACUUAUUGGAUUCCUAAUUUCAUUCAAUAGAAUGAGAUUGAUUAAACUACAUUCGGCCAGUUGGAAUUUAAGGUUAUUUCAAGCAAUAAUCUAUUGUUUCCAUGAACUCACAGGUUUAUCUUUUAAUCUCUUUAUAUGUAAGCAUGGUGUCAAGGAAAGAUAUCGUAUUGACAUGCUUUUUAGGGUUAAAACUCAAUCAUCCACUCUCGUGGACAAAAACAAAGAGAUGAGCAAAGCCAAGACCGAGGCGGGAGAAGAGGGCCCCACCGUAGUAACUGAAGCGGACAUUCAGCACACUGUCUCAUCAAAUAUCAAGAAUACCUACCUUAAAGUUUCAAUUUUUUUUUGUUUUCUGUUACGCAUCCGAUGAUUAAUCUAUGCCCACAGUGAUCGUUUUCUGCCUGAUAAGGCUAUUGAUUUAAUCGAUGAAGCCGGUUCUCGUGUUAGACUUCGUCAUGCCCAACUCCCAGAAGAAGCUAGAGAGCUCGAGCAAGAACUCAGGCAGAUAACAAAAGAAAAGAACGAAGCUGUUUGUGGCCAAGAUUUCGAAAAGUUACCGGUUUGCCUACUGAAGCUGCUUUAAAAGUGCUGGUA